This 483-nucleotide unclassified non-coding RNA is filed under the name uncultured bacterium. Its description in RNAcentral is "partial contains 16S ribosomal RNA and 16S-23S ribosomal RNA intergenic spacer". It matches the Rfam family "Bacterial small subunit ribosomal RNA", at positions 1055 to 1532 of the family's 1533-position model. The record is from RNAcentral.
UCAGCCUCGUGUCGCUGAGAUGUUGGGUUAAGNCCCGCAACGAGCGCAACUCCUNGGCCUUAGUUACCAGNGGGUUAAGCCGGGNACUCUAAGGAUACUGCCAGNNACAAACUGGAGGAAGGCGGGGACGACGUCAAGUCAUCAUGGCCCUUACCACCAGGGCUACACACNUGCUACAAUGGCNGGUNCAGAGGGCAGCUACACAGCGAUGUGAUGCNAAUCUCAAAAAGCCUAUCGUAGUCCAGAUUGGAGUCUGCAACUUGACUCCAUGAAGUAGGANUCGUUAGUCAUCGCGGAUCANAAUGCCGNNGAGAAUACGUUCCCNGNCCUUGUACACACCGCCCGUNACACCAUGGGAGUUGAUUGCACCAGAAGUGGNUAGCUUAACCUUNNGGGAGGCGUUCACCACGGUGUGGNUGAUGACUGGGGUGAAGUCGUAACAAGGUAUGCCGUAAGGGGAACCUGNGGCUGGAUCACCUCCUU